This 1408-nucleotide long non-coding RNA is filed under the name Anser brachyrhynchus (Pink-footed goose). Its description in RNAcentral is "lncRNA (ENSABRG00000001131.1)". Lineage: Eukaryota; Metazoa; Chordata; Aves; Anseriformes; Anatidae. The record is from RNAcentral.
AUGGCAGAAGACUCACAGGAAGUGGCAACGCAGGAUCAGCAAAUACAGCUGCUUUAUAGGCUGAGGAAGAGUGCGAGAUGUUGUGACACAAAGGAGGUGGGAAGACGGAGGUCAGGAAAGGAAGAUCUGGGGGCAACUCCGCUCUUCAGGCUGGGACUGGUUGUGGCCAAACUCCUGCUGCUCCUCCAACCUGCUUUACACAGGCAGAACAGCCCAUGUCUGAGGGCAGCAGACGUGGCUCUGCAGGAGUUUCAGCCAGUCCGUACAUCCCAAGUUACUAGGAAGGGAAUACCUUCACGUAUUUGCUGAUACUCCUGUCCUAUAGCCAUACUUGCAUGGCAUGGUAAGUUAUCCUUGUUCUGUGGAGAUGCACAAAAAGCACGACUGGGCUCUUUAUUCAGGCAGUUUCCUGAUGUAAUUCAGUAGGAACUUUGCACAAGAAGAGAGCAUAAACUCCAUCCUAUGGGACCAGAAGGGCAGUCUUUCCUCCAAUUCUUUCUCCACUUUCCUCCUACCCACUAGCAAUUUACUCUUUGCCCUCUGAUGGCACCGCUGCAUUACUUGGUGCUGGCAGAAACCAGAAAGCUGCUUUUAACUGCAGAAGGGAGGGCUAAACUUGUUUACUUGGGAGUUUAUAGCAUUUUUGAACGCUGCCUCCCAGCUGAAAGUUAAGAUUAAGUGGUGGAAAGCCAGCACGUGGGCUGGUGCUAGAAGCAAGAAACCUCUGCCAGAAUCAGUACUUGAGAUCAAAAGUGUUACUAAGCAGUCAGUGCUGUGGUUUGAUGAGAAAGAUCUCGGUAAAAGCUUGCAAGGUCCCCAGUGUUCAGCUUUGAUAUCACCUGAGACAGGCUGCUAAAUGGUCCUGCUUUGACAAUGGUGACCAAGGCAGCAAAAACACACCAAGACACAGAACGUGCAAGACUUCUCAAACAGCAGCAUAAUUGCUCAGCCUAUUUUCCUAAGUGUUCAGUAUCUGCUUGGAUGACAUAGGACACAGCAGCUUCUGAUCAGUGCUUUCCUCGUUGUUUUACUCCUACCUGCAAAGACUGCAAGACUGGGCUCAUGGUGGUUGGUGAGGCCACGAGUCAGCCAGGUAGGAAGAAUUGGACAGAUUUCCUUGCAGAAAUGUACUGUAUGAAGAUAUCCUAGGGAAACAAGACUUAGCUUCAUAAACCCUGUUCUUUUGGAAGGAGUGGAGGGCUCUAUGUAUUCCAGUGAUGCAAGGGGAGAGAGAUGGGGGAGAACUUCACUUCUGGCCGAAAUUAAGGACAACUCCUGGGUUACAAGUAACAUGUGUCCAUGGUUUUAUAGAACAGCUGGAGCUUGGCUUGGUAUUGAGGAUUAAGGGAUUUAGAUUUUGAAGGUGGUUGUACUGGGAACAGCAAAUAAAUAAUAUACUCAGUUAACA